UAGGUGAACCUGCGGAAGGAUCAUUAGUGAAUAUAGGACGUCCAACUUAACUUGGAGUCCGAACUCUCACUUUCUAACCCUGUGCACUUGUUUGGGAUAGUAACUCUCGCAAGAGAGCGAACUCCUAUUCACUUAUAAACACAAAGUCUAUGAAUGUAUUAAAUUUUAUAACAAAAUAAAACUUUCAACAACGGAUCUCUUGGCUCUCGCAUCGAUGAAGAACGCAGCGAAAUGCGAUAAGUAAUGUGAAUUGCAGAAUUCAGUGAAUCAUCGAAUCUUUGAACGCACCUUGCGCUCCAUGGUAUUCCGUGGAGCAUGCCUGUUUGAGUGUCAUGAAUACUUCAACCCUCCUCUUUCUUAAUGAUUGAAGAGGUGUUUGGUUUCUGAGCGCUGCUGGCCUUUACGGUCUAGCUCGUUCGUAAUGCAUUAGCAUCCGCAAUCGAACUUCGGAUUGACUUGGCGUAAUAGACUAUUCGCUGAGGAAUUCUAGUCUUCGGAUUAGAGCCGGGUUGGGUUAAAGGAAGCUUCUAAUCAGAAUGUCUACAUUUUAAGAUUAGAUCUCAAAUCAGGUAGGACUACCCGCUGAACUUAAGCAUAUCAAUAAGCGGA
RNAcentral lists this ribosomal RNA (609 nucleotides) under Rhodotorula mucilaginosa. RNAcentral describes it as "eukaryotic LSU rRNA". The stretch from base 180 to 333 matches the Rfam family "5.8S ribosomal RNA". Lineage: Eukaryota; Fungi; Basidiomycota; Microbotryomycetes; Sporidiobolales; Sporidiobolaceae. The record is from RNAcentral.